AGAGUUUGAUCAUGGCUCAGAGCGAACGCUGGCGGCAGGCUUAACACAUGCAAGUCGAGCGGGCGUAGCAAUACGUCAGCGGCAGACGGGUGAGUAACGCGUGGGAACAUACCUUUUGGUUCGGAACAACACAGGGAAACUUGUGCUAAUACCGGAUAAGCCCUUACGGGGAAAGAUUUAUCGCCGAAAGAUUGGCCCGCGUCUGAUUAGCUAGUUGGUGAGGUAACGGCUCACCAAGGCGACGAUCAGUAGCUGGUCUGAGAGGAUGAUCAGCCACAUUGGGACUGAGACACGGCCCAAACUCCUACGGGAGGCAGCAGUGGGGAAUAUUGGACAAUGGGCGCAAGCCUGAUCCAGCCAUGCCGCGUGAGUGAUGAAGGCCCUAGGGUUGUAAAGCUCUUUUGUGCGGGAAGAUAAUGACGGUACCGCAAGAAUAAGCCCCGGCUAACUUCGUGCCAGCAGCCGCGGUAAUACGAAGGGGGCUAGCGUUGCUCGGAAUCACUGGGCGUAAAGGGUGCGUAGGCGGGUCUUUAAGUCAGGGGUGAAAUCCUGGAGCUCAACUCCAGAACUGCCUUUGAUACUGAGGAUCUUGAGUUCGGGAGAGGUGAGUGGAACUGCGAGUGUAGAGGUGAAAUUCGUAGAUAUUCGCAAGAACACCAGUGGCGAAGGCGGCUCACUGGCCCGAUACUGACGCUGAGGCACGAAAGCGUGGGGAGCAAACAGGAUUAGAUACCCCCGUAGUCC
This 744-nucleotide ribosomal RNA is filed under the name uncultured bacterium. RNAcentral's name for it is "bacterial SSU rRNA". It matches the Rfam family "Bacterial small subunit ribosomal RNA", at positions 8 to 796 of the family's 1533-position model. The record is from RNAcentral.